ACCGUUGUCAUCUAGUCCGGUAAGGAUGUCUGGGUCUCACCCAGAUGACCCGGGUUCAAAUCCCGGCAACGGAA
Transfer RNA from Macleaya cordata, 74 nucleotides. It matches the Rfam family "tRNA". From Rfam's summary of the family: Transfer RNA (tRNA) molecules are approximately 80 nucleotides in length. Their secondary structure includes four short double-helical elements and three loops (D, anti-codon, and T loops). Further hydrogen bonds mediate the characteristic L-shaped molecular structure. tRNAs have two regions of fundamental functional importance: the anti-codon, which is responsible for specific mRNA codon recognition, and the 3' end, to which the tRNAs corresponding amino acid is attached (by aminoacyl-tRNA synthetases). tRNAs cope with the degeneracy of the genetic code in two manners: having more than one tRNA (with a specific anti-codon) for a particular amino acid; and 'wobble' base-pairing, i.e. permitting non-standard base-pairing at the 3rd anti-codon position. The record is from Rfam. NCBI's taxonomy places the organism in Eukaryota, Viridiplantae, Streptophyta, Magnoliopsida, Ranunculales, Papaveraceae.